AAUUCAAGAUGUAAUGAAUAGUAACCCUCAACAAGUAGUGAUUGAUUCUGGGACAAACAAUUCCAACUAUAACGCAAAUUUUGCUACACAUCACAAUCCACAUAUCAGACCUGACCAGACUUUUAAAAGAGAGAAACCCUUUUCUUGUUCUGAAUGCGGAAAAUCUUUCAAUCGUAAAGCAAAACUUGCACAUCAUAAGAUGAUUCAUACAGGAGAAAAACCGUUUUGUUGUUUAGAAUGUGGGAAAUGUUUUACUCAAAUGUCAUCGCUAAAUUCUCAUCAAAGGGUUCACACAGGAGAGAAACCAUUUUCUUGUUCUGAGUGCGGAAAAUGUUUUACUGAAAAAUCACAACUUACAGUUCAUCUGAAGAUGCACACAGAAGAGAAACAGUUUUGUUGUUUAGAAUGUGGGAAAUGUUACAAACACUUGUCAUCUCUAAGUUUGCAUCGAAGGGGUCACACAGGAGAGAGACCAUAUUCUUGUUCUGAGUGCGGUAAAAGUUUUGUUCAAAAAUCACACCUUAUGCAUCAUCUGAAGAUUCACACAGGAGAGAGACCAUUUUCUUGUUCUGAGUGCAGAAAAUGUUUCAUUUGUAAAUCACACCUUACAGCUCAUCUGAAGAUUCACAAAGGAGCGAAGCAGUUUUCAUUUUCUGAGCAAGGGAUUAAAAUGAGUACAAAGGUCUCUCUUAAAAAGCAUUUGGCAUCAUACAAGAAAUAAACAAUUUUCCUUUCCUGUGCAGAGCUCAAUUGAAAAAAUAAUAAAAAAUGAAUCAAAAAAUGUAUUUACGGCCUCAGUGUGUGCACACUCUGUAAGUCAAUAGUAGGCAUUAUAUAUGCAUAAUAAUUAGUUAGAUCUCACCCAUAUAUAUAGUUGGGGUAGAGUUGGAGCACGGUCUGUGGAUAAUCCUUCUGUAGAUGCUGCAGUAUGCAAGGCUCCAGGGCCAAGGUUCCUGUAACAGUGGUUAAUGCCUGCUCCUACGGGCGAUAUAUGG
Non-coding RNA from Pelobates cultripes (western spadefoot toad), 995 nucleotides. Lineage: Eukaryota; Metazoa; Chordata; Amphibia; Anura; Pelobatidae. The record is from the annotation of a GenBank genome assembly.